CCUACGGGUGGCAGCAGUGGGGAAUAUUGGACAAUGGGCGAAAGCCUGAUCCAGCCAUGCCGCGUGUGUGAAGAAGGCCUUCGGGUUGUAAAGCACUUUCAGUGGGGAAGAAAGCCUUGGGGCUAAUACCCUCGAGGAAGGACAUCACCCACAGAAGAAGCACCGGCUAACUCCGUGCCAGCAGCCGCGGUAAUACGGAGGGUGCGAGCGUUAAUCGGAAUUACUGGGCGUAAAGCGCGCGUAGGUGGUUUGAUAAGCCGGUUGUGAAAGCCCCGGGCUCAACCUGGGAACGGCAUCCGGAACUGUCAGGCUAGAGUGCAGGAGAGGAAGGUAGAAUUCCCGGUGUAGCGGUGAAAUGCGUAGAGAUCGGGAGGAAUACCAGUGGCGAAGGCGGCCUUCUGGACUGACACUGACGCUGAGGUGCGAAAGCGUGGGUAGCAAACAGGAUUAGAUACCCUGGUAGUC
Molecule: ribosomal RNA, 465 nt
Filed under: Vreelandella stevensii
Lineage: Bacteria; Pseudomonadati; Pseudomonadota; Gammaproteobacteria; Oceanospirillales; Halomonadaceae
Description: partial 16S ribosomal RNA
Rfam family: Bacterial small subunit ribosomal RNA
Source: RNAcentral